Zea mays is the source of this 2425-nucleotide long non-coding RNA. RefSeq lists it as uncharacterized. The record is from RefSeq and is a predicted model, not a curated record. The transcript has 5 exons. NCBI's taxonomy places the organism in Eukaryota, Viridiplantae, Streptophyta, Magnoliopsida, Poales, Poaceae.
AUGCCAUGGAAAUUCAACGGAUGUUAUGCCCUUUUCGUAAUAGAUCAUGUUAAAAAGCAUGUGACUUUUAUCGACUUUACACCGACUCAAGAUUGGUGUAAACACAUGCCAUACAAGAGGUUUGCGGAAGCGAUUAUCAUGGCCUCAAAGAAAUAUAAGAUUGCUUACAGCAAGAAACGUUCUGGAUGGGCGGAGGAUAUCUUUAAGUGGGAACAUACAAUUCAGACUGAUGUUCCAAUUGAUUUAAGAGGGUUUAAUACCAGCUACCUCGUUCUACAAGCUAUGGCCAUGUGGGGGAAUGACAGACGAAUGAAAUUUGUUGGGGAUGCAAAGAUUGUUCGAAGGAACUUUGUGAUUGAUCUGUUAAGUUAUGAGGAUAAUUCGUGCCGAUAUGUCAUCCCUGCAAACAUACAACAGAGACUUAUCGAUAUCGCUAAAAAGGAUUAGCUGAUUAGUGUGAUAUUGAUAAUGUUUGACACACGGAUUUUGCAUAUUAUAGUGAUAUUUAUCGUUCCGUAUUAAUGUUUCAUACAAAUCUUUUACUUCUGUCGCAACGCACGGGCACAUAUCUUAAAGACUAUCUUAUUCGGUUCCGUUGCAACGCACGGGCACCCUACUAGUAUAUAUAUAUAGUUAUAGUAUUAGGAGCCCUGGGCUCUCUUUAGUUGGAGAAAGCCCUGACCGCUCACUCGUCAGUCGUCAUCCAAUAUUGUCAGUAACCUUUUACGCUUUGUUGUACAUAAGUUUAUGCUUAUUUCGUCAUAACAUCAUCAUAUAAAACCGUCUACUCUAUCCAACCUUUCCCGACGGCUGCUGUGUGCGAGAUAACUAGGGUUUCAGCGGCAGCGGUUGCAAGAGACGUGAGCAUGGAUGCAGAUGUGGGCGACCCUGGCACCGACCGCCUCAUCGGCUUUGCCUCCACCCACGCCGCCACCGCCGAGCCGGCCACUCCCUGAUCCAAACCACAACCCCGCCAGAUCCAGAUCCACCCAGUUCAGCGCAGCCGCUGCUAUCAGAUCUCAUAGCAGAAUAUUGGCCCUCGAUGGAGCUUGCCGCGACCAACGCGGUGUACGGGCUUCCGAGCCCGCCGCCCCCAGCGGUGUUGGCGAUGUCGCGCCCUCGCCACCUCUAGGUAUGGCGAUCGUGUAGGGGCAGGCGCUGGCGAAGCUCGCCUAGUGCUGCCGUGAGCUGGAGGAGGGGCGGCACACCAGCGGGAGGCGACAUGGCGGCUGAAGCGCGUGGAGCAGCAGCUGUAGAUGGAGCGCGAGAUGCGGCGGCGUGAGGUGGAGAAGAACGGGGACCGGACCGGAGCUCUUCAACGAAACUGAUGGGGCAACUCCAUCCGUCCACACGCGUGAUGGCUGGGGUCGUUAGCUGCUGAUUACUGUCCAUGAUGGUUAAAAGUGAGAACACAUCUUAAUCAACACCUCGAAUCACCGGCCCACCCUCUUGAUGGAAGAGUUACCGAUUUGGUAGUUAUUAUCUCAAAAUAGUUCACUGUUUCUAGCGCAAUCUAGUUUUGUGAGAACACAUCUUAAUCCAUUCAUUUAUUAGGAUAUCCAUUUUGGUUUAAUUUGAUCGAUUCUUGAACAUAAUGUUUCUUCUGUUGUAUCAUGAUGUUCAGCCAUAUACCAUGUUCAUUGUUCUUACCAUUUGGCUUUCAUUUUCAUCACUGUCCAUUAUAUUGGUAUCAUGAAAUCUCUAUAAAACAUAUUAGCUCAUUUGGAUUAGAACUAGAACACUAGAAUUUUUUCUAUCCAGAUUAUUAAAAUUCAUAGGAUCAACCUUAGCUUGGUCGCUUAUUUAUCUUCUAUAGUUUGUCCAUACAUUUUUGUUAGAGAGGAUAUCAAUAUAUCUGAGGAGUGAUUGUGUGUCUAUAAUAUUUGAAUCCCUAGUUAAAGUAUCGAUGGAUUUAUUAUUGAAAUCUGUGAAUUUUUUAUUUAGGUCGUUCUGUGAGCAACUCUUGGUAUAAUUGGUUGCAAUGGCGAUAUCACAAGCUCUUCAUGGAUAUGUGACGAUGGUUCGGGUUACAGGUCUUCCCGUUACUCAUCAAGAAGUUUUCACACGAAGAGCAAGCAAAUUUAGUAUGGCAGUUCUUAUGUAGCAUCCCUGUAAACAUGAUGGCAAAAUUUCUUCCAUGGAUUUCUGCUUCUGUUUCUACAGAUGAGAAUCAAGAUAUUCUUGACUGCCUAAGUAAAAUAGUUCCUGAAGAAAAACUCCUCCAAGAGGUUGUUUUCGCGUGGUUUGGAGGGAAAUCAGAAAGCAGUUCUACAUGUGAGUCUAGCUCUGGUCAAUGUGACGUUUUUUUGCUACAGUGGUGUUAUGGUGAAACAGAGUUUUGUGUGUAUGUACCAACAGCUAAAAUGUAAAUACGAUAUUAUCAUAGUUGAGUACAGGAAUAAUUAUCUCAUAUCUUAUUGCAAAA